This 324-nucleotide ribosomal RNA is filed under the name uncultured eukaryote. Its description in RNAcentral is "partial 18S ribosomal RNA". It matches the Rfam family "Eukaryotic small subunit ribosomal RNA", at positions 1470 to 1796 of the family's 1831-position model. The record is from RNAcentral.
CCCUUAGAUGCUCUGGGCCGCACGCGCGCUACACUGGUCGAUGCAGCGAGUUUCUUUCCUUGGCCGACAGGCCUGGGCAAUCUUUGAACAUCGAUCGUGAUCGGGAUAGAUUCUUGUAAUUUUUGAUCUUAAACGAGGAAUUCCUAGUAAACGCAAGUCAUCAGCUUGCAUUGAUUACGUCCCUGCCCUUUGUACACACCGCCCGUCGCACCUACCGAUUGAAUGGUCCGGUGAAAUCUCCGGACUGGCGUGAGUCGGAGCAAUCUGACAAACGCCGGAAAGUUGAUUAAACCUUACCAUUUAGAGGAAGGUGAAGUCGUAACA